RNAcentral lists this ribosomal RNA (413 nucleotides) under uncultured marine eukaryote. RNAcentral describes it as "bacterial SSU rRNA". It matches the Rfam family "Eukaryotic small subunit ribosomal RNA", at positions 619 to 1037 of the family's 1831-position model. The record is from RNAcentral.
UUAAAAAGCUCGUAGUUGGAUUUCUGUGGGGACGACGCCGCCGCUACUAGCGGUUCGAGCUAGCGCUUUCCCUACAUCCUGCCGCGAACCGCGCUACCAUUAGUUUGGAGCGCCGGGGAUCGGCUCGUUUACUUUGAGAAAAAUAAAGUGUUCAAAGCAGGCCACACGCCUUGAAUAAGUUAGCAUGGAAUAAUAACUAAGGACUUCGGUUCUAUUUUGUUGGUGUUCGGGACUGAAGUAAUGAUUGAUAGGGACAGUUGGGGCGGUCCGUAUUCCAAAGCGAGAGGUGAAAUUCUUAGACCUUCGGAAGACGAACAGCUGCGGAAGCGUUCCACAAGGAUGUUCCCUUUGAUCAAGAACGAAGGUUGGGGGAUCGAAGACGAUCAGAUACCGUCGUAGUCUCAACUAUAAAC